CGGCGAACGGGUGAGUAACACGUGGGCAACCUUUCCCAUCGUGGGGGAUAACACCGGGAAACCGGUGCUAAUACCGCAUGAGGUCGCUGGAGGCAUCUCCGGCGAAGAAAGCAGCAAUGCGCGAUGGGGUGGGCCCGCGGCCUAUCAGCUAGUCGGUGGGGUAACGGCCUACCGAGGCAUUGACGGGUAGCUGGUCUGAGAGGACGACCAGCCACACGGGGACUGAGACACGGCCCCG
RNAcentral lists this ribosomal RNA (238 nucleotides) under uncultured bacterium. RNAcentral describes it as "partial 16S ribosomal RNA". It matches the Rfam family "Bacterial small subunit ribosomal RNA", at positions 96 to 334 of the family's 1533-position model. The record is from RNAcentral.